GGGGAUUUAGCUCAGUGGCAUAAGCACCUGCCUUGCAAGCAGGCCGUUGUGAGUUUGAUCCCCG
This is a transfer RNA of Cavia porcellus (domestic guinea pig), 64 nucleotides long. It matches the Rfam family "tRNA". Rfam says of the family: Transfer RNA (tRNA) molecules are approximately 80 nucleotides in length. The record is from Rfam. Lineage: Eukaryota; Metazoa; Chordata; Mammalia; Rodentia; Caviidae.